GACGAACGCUGGCGGCGUGCUUAACACAUGCAAGUCGAACGGGGUUAUUACGACAGAGAUCUUCGGAUGGAAGUUGUUUUAACCUAGUGGCGGACGGGUGAGUAAAGCACAAGGACUUGUCCACGAGAGGGGGACAACCCUGGGAAACCAGGACUGAUACCCCGUAAGCCGAGAGGUGAAAGCAGCGAUGCGCUCGAGGAGAGACUUGUGUCCUAUCAGGUAGUUGGAGAGAUAAAAGCUCCCCAAGCCGAAGACGGGUAGCCGGACUGAGAGGUUGACCGGCCACAUUGGGACUGAGACACGGCCCAGACUCCUACGGGAGGCAGCAGUGGGGAAUAUUGGGCAAUGGGGGAAACCCUGACCCAGCGACGCCGCGUGAGGGAAGACAGCCUUCGGGUUGUAAACCUCUGUUGCAGGGGAAGAAGGACGUGACGGUACCCUGCGAGGAAGCUCCGGCUAACUACGUGCCAGCAGCCGCGGUAAUACGUAGGGAGCGAGCGUUGUCCGGAAUUACUGGGCGUAAAGGGCGCGCAGGCGGUAUUUCAAGUUGUCUGUAAAAACGUGGGGCUUAACCCCAUGUCGCAGACAAAACUAGAAGACUGGAGGCGUGGAGAGGCAGACAGAAUUCCUGGUGUAGCGGUGAAAUGCGUAGAUAUCAGGAAGAAUACCAGUGGCGAAGGCGGUCUGCUGGCCACGAACUGACGCUAAAGCGCGAAAGCCAGGGGAGCAAACGGGAUUAGAUACCCCGGUAGUCCUGGCAGUAAACGAUGUAUGCUGGGUGUGGGAGCAGCGAUGUUUCCGUGCCGAAGUUAACGCGAUAAGCAUACCGCCUGGGGAGUACGGUCGCAAGAUUGAAACUCAAAGGAAUUGACGGGGGCCCGCACAAGCGGUGGAGCACGUGGUUUAAUUCGAUGCAAACCGAAGAACCUUACCUGGGCUUGACAUGUAUGUAGUAGCGAAUCGAAAGAGGAGCGACUCAUCCUUCGGGAAGAGAGCAUACACAGGUGCUGCAUGGCUGUCGUCUGCUCGUGUCGUGAGAUGUUGGGUCAAGUCCCGCAACGAGCGCAACCCCUAUUGCCAGUUGCUAACGCGUCGCGGCGAGCACUCAGGCGAGACUGCCAUCGACAAGAUGGAGGAAGGUGGGGACGACGUCAAGUCAUCAUGGCCUUUAUGUCCAGGGCGACACACAUGCUACAAUGGCCGGUACAGAGGGAAGCGAAGUUGGAAGACAGAGCAGAUCCCAAAAAGCCGGUCCCAGUUCGGAUCGCAGUCUGCAACUCGACUGCGUGAAGUUGGAAUCGCUAGUAAUCGCAGAUCAGCCAAGCUGCGGUGAAUACGUUCCCGGGCCU
This 1349-nucleotide ribosomal RNA is filed under the name uncultured bacterium. Its description in RNAcentral is "bacterial SSU rRNA". It matches the Rfam family "Bacterial small subunit ribosomal RNA", at positions 28 to 1381 of the family's 1533-position model. The record is from RNAcentral.